CAUCGAGCCCACGCCCAGAUCCGCGCUCUCUAGUACUCGCCCGCAACCCUCACCCGUGGCUAGGGUUUCGGCCGCCACCCCUAAAUUCGUCGGGAUCUGCCACAUCCAGCGACAGCGAGGCCAGAGGUGGCCGGAUCUGGCACCGGUAAGCCCCUCCCCUCCUUAUUCGUGCACUAUCUCCUCCUCACCUCACCUUGUCUUGUGUUCCAUUUCGGCAGGUGGAUGGGAUGACGACGAUGGCAGGAGGGGCGAACCUCCAUGGGACGGGUCGCCACCAUGGAGAUGGAGCUCCUUCUCCCCUACCACGCAACCUCCCUCCCAGCGCCAAUAGAGCACCGGCUACCAUGACGCGACAGCGCUGUCGCAAGCCUCGCGGGGCUGUGCAUCUCGUCGUCUGCCACGCCCUACCAGGAGCUACAUCACCCACACGUCUCCUCUGAAGAAGGGGACGAUGGCUUGUGCGUCGGCGUGGUUGGCUCCAGCUCCCCGCCGACCUAUGACUCCACAUGCGUCGCCGUCUUCGACCACAGGUCCAUGUCCUCGAUCUGCUUCCUUUGCUUCCCCUAGGUUUCCGCGUAGAUCUGGCCGUUUGAUUUGAUGCGGAUGCGAAUUUGGUUCUCCAUCGCUGUAGGUUUCCUGUGCGUACUCGCGUUCGAAUUAGCAUUGAAUCCCUCAGUUUAUGCAGUUUCGUUGUGGUUGAUUGACACCCCUGUGAAGAUAAAAUUCAGGACCAACCGUUAGCUUUUUGUGAAGAAAAAGCUAUUGGUAAAAAAAUCGUAGGAAACCCCCAAAAGCCUCGCUCUGCUGUACAUUAUAUUACUUGGGUUACUGCAACCCUGCCUGCCUGCUACUGUGUUAGUCUGCAACGCAUACCAAGUUGAUUUCAGUGCAUUUUUUCCAUAAUUAGACUUAUGAAGCUCAAACUGACCAUAUCAGCACUAGUCUCACAUUUAGAUUUAAAAUGUUGACUGGAAAUGUGUGUAGUCGGUAUUUGUCUUGUAGCAUGGCCAGAUUCAGAGACUCAACUCGUUUCUUCUUUUGUUCCUACAAGACGAUUCAACUUAACUUUAAAAAGUAACAGUAAAUUUGGAUACUGCCAGACACAAGAGAAGACUGUUACAAUGAUAGUAUGUGCUACAUUUGAUCCCAGGUUGUACAACAUAUCUGUUACUGCAGGUCACCCAUCCUCGAGGAGCAGAAGGAGGGACGCUCUGCUCCUCUUCUUCCUUGACCAUCGGUACCACCAUGUUCCCGGGCUUCCAAGGUGCGCCAGCACACCGCCGCCAUGCCUCCUCUGCUCUCCGGGCUCGGACCAAUCGCUCGCCCCUUAAGGU
This 1334-nucleotide long non-coding RNA is filed under the name Triticum aestivum (bread wheat). Its description in RNAcentral is "long non-coding RNA (TAES_LNC000733)". The record is from RNAcentral. Lineage: Eukaryota; Viridiplantae; Streptophyta; Magnoliopsida; Poales; Poaceae.